AACGAACGCUGGCGGCGUGCCUAACACAUGCCAGUCGAACGAGAAAGGGGCUUCGGCUCCGAGUAAAGUGGCGCACGGGUGAGUAACACGUGGGUAACCUGCCUCUAAGAUUGGGAUAACUCGUCGAAAGAUGAGCUAAUACCGAAUAAGACCACAGUUCCCGCGGGAAAGGGGGUCAAAGUAGGCCUCGGCUUGCAGCUUAUCACUUGGGAUGGGGCCGUGGCACCAUUAGCUAGUUGGUAGGGUAACGGCCUACCAAGGCAAGGAUGGUUAGCUGGUCUGAGAGGAUGAUCAGCCACACUGGAACUGAGACACGGUCCAGACUCCUACGGGAGGCAGCAGUGGGGAAUAUUGCGCAAUGGGCGAAAGCUUGACGCAGCAACGCCGCGUGAGUGAUGAAGGCCUUCGGGUCGUAAAGCUCUGUCGGGAGGAACGAAUGCUCCUGAGGUUAACAGCCUCGGGAGGUGACGGUACCUUCAAAGGAAGCACCGGCUAACUCUGUG
This 503-nucleotide ribosomal RNA is filed under the name uncultured bacterium. Its description in RNAcentral is "partial 16S ribosomal RNA". It matches the Rfam family "Bacterial small subunit ribosomal RNA", at positions 29 to 507 of the family's 1533-position model. The record is from RNAcentral.